Molecule: ribosomal RNA, 194 nt
Filed under: uncultured bacterium
Lineage: Bacteria
Description: partial 16S ribosomal RNA
Rfam family: Bacterial small subunit ribosomal RNA
Source: RNAcentral
ACGCUCGACACCUACGGGAAGCAGCAGUCGGGAAUAUUGCGCAAUGGAGGAAACUCUGACGCAGUGACGCCGCGUAUAGGAAGAAGGUUUUCGGAUUGUAAACUAUUGUCGUUAGGGAAGAGAAAGGACAGUACCUAAGGAGGAAGCUCCGGCUAACUACGUGCCANGCGCGGUAUAUGNGCGGCGUGNGAGAG